UACGUAGGGUGCGAGCGUUGUCCGGAAUUAUUGGGCGUAAAGGGCUCGUAGGCGGUUUGUCGCGUCGGGAGUGAAAUCAUCUGGCUUAACUGGGUGCUUGCUUUCGAUACGGGCAGACUAGAGGUAUGCAGGGGAGAACGGAAUUCCUGGUGUAGCGGUGAAAUGCGCAGAUAUCAGGAGGAACACCGGUGGCGAAGGCGGUUCUCUGGGCAUUACCUGACGCUGAGGAGCGAAAGCAUGGGGAGCGAACAGG
This 253-nucleotide ribosomal RNA is filed under the name uncultured bacterium. RNAcentral describes it as "partial 16S ribosomal RNA". It matches the Rfam family "Bacterial small subunit ribosomal RNA", at positions 524 to 776 of the family's 1533-position model. The record is from RNAcentral.